UACGGAGGGCGCGAGCGUUAAUCGGAAUUACUGGGCGUAAAGCGCGCGUAGGCUGUUGUGUAAGUUGGGGGUGAAAUCCCACGGCUCAACCGUGGAACAGCCCUUGAUACUGCGCGACUUGAAUCCGGGAGAGGGUGGCGGAAUUCCAGGUGUAGGAGUGAAAUCCGUAGAUAUCUGGAGGAACAUCAGUGGCGAAGGCAGCGUACCGGCGCCACACUGACGCUGAGGCACGAAAGCGUGGGGAUCGAACAGG
This 253-nucleotide ribosomal RNA is filed under the name uncultured Desulfovibrio sp. RNAcentral's name for it is "partial 16S ribosomal RNA". It matches the Rfam family "Bacterial small subunit ribosomal RNA", at positions 524 to 776 of the family's 1533-position model. The record is from RNAcentral. Lineage: Bacteria; Pseudomonadati; Thermodesulfobacteriota; Desulfovibrionia; Desulfovibrionales; Desulfovibrionaceae.